RNAcentral lists this ribosomal RNA (469 nucleotides) under uncultured bacterium. Its description in RNAcentral is "bacterial SSU rRNA". It matches the Rfam family "Bacterial small subunit ribosomal RNA", at positions 1 to 470 of the family's 1533-position model. The record is from RNAcentral.
GAUUAGAGUUUGAUCCUGGCUCAGAUUGAACGCUGGCGGCAUGCCUUACACAUGCAAGUCGAACGGCAGCAUGGAGGAGCUUGCUCCUCUGAUGGCGAGUGGCGAACGGGUGAGUAAAGCAUCGGAACGUACCGUGUAGUGGGGGAUAACGUAGCGAAAGUUACGCUAAUACCGCAUACGCACUGAGGUGGAAAGCAGGGGAUCGCAAGACCUUGCGCUAUACGAGCGGCCGAUGUCAGAUUAGCUAGUUGGUAGGGUAAAGGCCUACCAAGGCGACGAUCUGUAGCGGGUCUGAGAGGAUGAUCCGCCACACUGGGACUGAGACACGGCCCAGACUCCUACGGGAGGCAGCAGUGGGGAAUUUUGGACAAUGGGGGAAACCCUGAUCCAGCCAUGCCGCGUGAGUGAAGAAGGCCUUCGGGUUGUAAAGCUCUUUCGGCUGGGAAGAAAUCGCACAGGCUAAUACUCU